This 306-nucleotide ribosomal RNA is filed under the name uncultured bacterium. RNAcentral describes it as "partial 16S ribosomal RNA". It matches the Rfam family "Bacterial small subunit ribosomal RNA", at positions 507 to 807 of the family's 1533-position model. The record is from RNAcentral.
GACAGCAGUAGCCGCGGUAAUACGUAGGUGGCAAGCGUUGUCCGGAUUUAUUGGGCGUAAAGCGAGCGCAGGCGGUUUCUUAAGUCUGAUGUGAAAGCCCCCGGCUCAACCGGGGAGGGUCAUUGGAAACUGGGAAACUUGAGUGCAGAAGAGGAGAGUGGAAUUCCAUGUGUAGCGGUGAAAUGCGUAGAUAUAUGGAGGAACACCAGUGGCGAAGGCGGCUCUCUGGUCUGUAACUGACGCCGAGGCUCGAAAGCGUGGGGAGCAAACAGGAUUAGAUACCCCAGUAGUCCCUGUCUCUUAUAC